RNAcentral lists this ribosomal RNA (73 nucleotides) under Polymyxa graminis. RNAcentral describes it as "partial 28S ribosomal RNA". The stretch from base 17 to 73 matches the Rfam family "Eukaryotic large subunit ribosomal RNA", at positions 1 to 57 of the family's 3401-position model. The record is from RNAcentral. Lineage: Eukaryota; Endomyxa; Phytomyxea; Plasmodiophorida; Plasmodiophoridae.
CAGAAAACCAUACACAAGAUCUCAGAUGAGGUAAGACUACCCGCCGAAUUUAAGCAUAUCAAUAAGCGGAGGA